AAAUUGAAGAGUUUGAUCAUGGCUCAGAUUGAACGCUGGCGGCAGGCCUAAACACAUGCAAGUCGAGCGGUAGCACAGAGAGCUUGCUCUCGGGUGACGAGCGGCGGACGGUGUGAGUAAUGUCUGGGAAACUGCCUGAUGGAGGGGGAUAACUACUGGAAACGGUAGCUAAUACCGCAUAACGUCGCAAGACCAAAGUGGGGGACCUUCGGGCCUCAUGCCAUCAGAUGUGCCCAGAUGGGAUUAGCUAGUAGGUGGGGUAACGGCUCACCUAGGCGACGAUCCCUAGCUGGUCUGAGAGGAUGACCAGCCACACUGGAACUGAGACACGGUCCAGACUCCUACGGGAGGCAGCAGUGGGGAAUAUUGCACAAUGGGCGCAAGCCUGAUGCAGCCAUGCCGCGUGUGUGAAGAAGGCCUUCGGGUUGUAAAGCACUUUCAGCGGGGAGGAAGGCGAUAAGGUUAAUAACCUUGUCGAUUGACGUUACCCGCAGAAGAAGCACCGGCUAACUCCGUGCCAGCAGCCGCGGUAAUACGGAGGGUGCAAGCGUUAAUCGGAAUUACUGGGCGUAAAGCGCACGCAGGCGGUCUGUCAAGUCGGAUGUGAAAUCCCCGGGCUCAACCUGGGAACUGCAUUCGAAACUGGCAGGCUAGAGUCUUGUAGAGGGGGGUAGAAUUCCAGGUGUAGCGGUGAAAUGCGUAGAGAUCUGGAGGAAUACCGGUGGCGAAGGCGGCCCCCUGGACAAAGACUGACGCUCAGGUGCGAAAGCGUGGGGAGCAAACAGGAUUAGAUACCCUGGUAGUCCACGCCGUAAACGAUGUCGAUUUGGAGGUUGUGCCCUUGAGGCGUGGCUUCCGGAGCUAACGCGUUAAAUCGACCGCCUGGGGAGUACGGCCGCAAGGUUAAAACUCAAAUGAAUUGACGGGGGCCCGCACAAGCGGUGGAGCAUGUGGUUUAAUUCGAUGCAACGCGAAGAACCUUACCUGGUCUUGACAUCCACAGAACUUUCCAGAGAUGGAUUGGUGCCUUCGGGAACUGUGAGACAGGUGCUGCAUGGCUGUCGUCAGCUCGUGUUGUGAAAUGUUGGGUUAAGUCCCGCAACGAGCGCAACCCUUAUCCUUUGUUGCCAGCGGUUAGGCCGGGAACUCAAAGGAGACUGCCAGUGAUAAACUGGAGGAAGGUGGGGAUGACGUCAAGUCAUCAUGGCCCUUACGACCAGGGCUACACACGUGCUACAAUGGCAUAUACAAAGAGAAGCGACCUCGCGAGAGCAAGCGGACCUCAUAAAGUAUGUCGUAGUCCGGAUUGGAGUCUGCAACUCGACUCCAUGAAGUCGGAAUCGCUAGUAAUCGUAGAUCAGAAUGCUACGGUGAAUACGUUCCCGGGCCUUGUACACACCGCCCGUCACACCAUGGGAGUGGGUUGCAAAAGAAGUAGGUAGCUUAACCUUCGGGAGGGCGCUUACCACUUUGUGAUUCAUGACUGGGGUGAAGUCGUAACAAGGUAACCGUAGGGGAACCUGCGGUUGGAUCACCUCCUUACCUUAAAGAA
Molecule: ribosomal RNA, 1552 nt
Filed under: Klebsiella pneumoniae
Lineage: Bacteria; Pseudomonadati; Pseudomonadota; Gammaproteobacteria; Enterobacterales; Enterobacteriaceae
Description: bacterial SSU rRNA
Rfam family: Bacterial small subunit ribosomal RNA
Source: RNAcentral